Molecule: long non-coding RNA, 406 nt
Filed under: Ananas comosus (pineapple)
Lineage: Eukaryota; Viridiplantae; Streptophyta; Magnoliopsida; Poales; Bromeliaceae
Description: long non-coding RNA (ACOM_LNC005508)
Source: RNAcentral
UCCUCCUUUCAGCGGCUUGGCGAUAUCUCCUCCUUUCAGCAGCUCGGCGAUAUCUCCUCCUUUCAGCGACUCGGCGAUAUCUCCUCCUUUGAAUAUUUUGAACGUGGAAAUGUGUGUAGCAAUCUAUCUCUCUUUUUGUCUCUGUCCAAAAAAAAGUUCCCCGAAUUUGAUUUCGGUUCCCGUAUUUAUAAUGGGAGGGGAGGGGUUAGUUAAGAAUUCAAAAUUCGAAAUUCGAAUUUUGAAUUAUUUGUUGGAUGAUUGGAGGAUAUUUGGGGAGUGGUUGGGAAUUAAAUUUUGAAUGAGUUGUUGGAUAGUUGGGAGAUAUUGUGGGAGUUGGUUGAAGGUUCGAAAUUCGAAAUUCGAAUUUUGAACGGAUUCUCCAAAGUUGAGCAGGAUGCAAAAAAUU